GUGAGGAAUUUUCCGCAAUGGGCGAAAGCCUGACGGAGCAAUGCCGCGUGAAGGAUGAAGGCCUAUGGGUUGUAAACUUCUUUUCUCAGAAAAGAAUUAUGACGGUAUCUGAGGAAUAAGCAUCGGCUAACUCUGUGCCAGCAGCCGCGGUAAUACGGAGGGUGCAAGCGUUAUCCGGAUUCACUGGGUUUAAAGGGUGCGUAGGCGGUUUUAUAAGUCAGUGGUGAAAUCAACGGGCUCAACCUGUUAACUGCCAUUGAUACUGUAGGACUUGAAUAUGAGAGAGGUAGGCGGAAUGUUGCAUGUAGCGGUGAAAUGCUUAGAUAUGCUACGGAACACCGAUUGCGAAGGCAGCUUACUAUUUCAUGAUUGACGCUGAGGCACGAAAGCGUGGGUAGCGAACAGGAUUAGAAACCCCGGUAGUCC
Molecule: ribosomal RNA, 426 nt
Filed under: uncultured bacterium
Lineage: Bacteria
Description: bacterial SSU rRNA
Rfam family: Bacterial small subunit ribosomal RNA
Source: RNAcentral